AAUAGAUACCCGGGUAGUCCACGCCGUAAACGAUGAGUGCUGAGUGUUAGAGGGUUUCCGCCCUUUAGUGCUGAAGUUAACGCAUUAAGCACUCCGCCUGGGGAGUACGGCCGCAAGGCUGAAACUCAAAGGAAUUGACGGGGGCCCGCACAAGCGGUGGAGCAUGUGGUUUAAUUCGAAGCAACGCGAAGAACCUUACCAGGUCUUGACAUCCUCUGACAACCCUAGAGAUAGGGCUUCUCCUUCGGGAGCAGAGUGACAGGUGGUGCAUGGUUGUCGUCAGCUCGUGUCGUGAGAUGUUGGGUUAAGUCCCGCAACGAGCGCAACCCUUGAUCUUAGUUGCCAUCAUUCAGUUGGGCACUCUAAGGUGACUGCCGGUGACAAACCGGAGGAAGGUGGGGAUGACGUCAAAUCAUCAUGCCCCUUAUGACCUGGGCUACACACGUGCUACAAUGGACGGUACAAAGAGCUGCAAGACCGCGAGGUGGAGCUAAUCUCAUAAAACCGUUCUCAGUUCGGA
RNAcentral lists this ribosomal RNA (520 nucleotides) under uncultured bacterium. Its description in RNAcentral is "bacterial SSU rRNA". It matches the Rfam family "Bacterial small subunit ribosomal RNA", at positions 777 to 1297 of the family's 1533-position model. The record is from RNAcentral.